GGGUCAGUAGGUUGGUCGUGCCACCGGUACGUACUGGUCUCACUGAUUCCUCCUUCCUGAAGAACCGUAAUGCCAUUAAUUUGGUGUUGCGGGAAACAGGACUGUUACUUUGAAAAAAUUAGAGUGUUUAAAGCAAGCUAACGCUUGAAUACAUUAGCAUGGAAUAAUGAAAUAGGACGAUCGAUCCUAUUUUGUUGGUUUCUAGGAUUGACGUAAUGAUAAUAGGGGUAGUUGGG
RNAcentral lists this ribosomal RNA (236 nucleotides) under Glomeromycotina sp. Its description in RNAcentral is "partial small subunit ribosomal RNA". The stretch from base 38 to 236 matches the Rfam family "Eukaryotic small subunit ribosomal RNA", at positions 685 to 886 of the family's 1831-position model. Lineage: Eukaryota; Fungi; Glomeromycota. The record is from RNAcentral.